Molecule: ribosomal RNA, 497 nt
Filed under: uncultured bacterium
Lineage: Bacteria
Description: partial 16S ribosomal RNA
Rfam family: Bacterial small subunit ribosomal RNA
Source: RNAcentral
GAUGAACGCUGGCGGCGUGCCUAAUACAUGCAAGUCGAGCGAACAGAUGAGGAGCUUGCUCCUCUGACGUUAGCGGCGGACGGGUGAGUAACACGUGGAUAACCUACCUAUAAGACUGGGAUAACUUCGGGAAACCGGAGCUAAUACAGGAUAAUAUAUUGAACCGCAUGGUUCAAUAGUGAAAGACGGUUUUGCUGUCACUUAUAGAUGGAUCCGCGCCGCAUUAGCUAGUUGGUAAGGUAACGGCUUACCAAGGCAACGAUGCGUAGCCGACCUGAGAGGGUGAUAGGCCACACUGGAACUGAGACACGGUCCAGACUCCUACGGGAGGCAGCAGUAGGGAAUCUUCCGCAAUGGGCGAAAGCCUGACGGAGCAACGCCGCGUGAGUGAUGAAGGUCUUCGGAUCGUAAAACUCUGUUAUUAGGGAAGAACAAAUGUGUAAGUAACUAUGCACGUCUUGACGGUACCUAAUCAGAAAGCCACGGCUAACUACGUG